GACGAACGCUGGCGGCGUGCUUAACACAUGCAAGUCGAACGGUGAAGCGCCUUCCUUUUUGGUGGGUGUGGAUGAGUGGCGAACGGGUGAGUAACACGUGAGUAACCUGCCCCCUUCUGCUGGAUAACCGCAUGAAAGUGUGGCUAAUACGGGAUAUUUUGGGUCUGUCGCUUGAUGGGUCUGGGAAAGAUAUUGUUUCGGUGGGGGAUGGGCUCGCGGCCUAUCAGCUUGUUGGUGGGGUGAUGGCCUACCAAGGCGGUGACGGGUAGCCGGCCUGAGAGGGUGGGCGGCACCAGUGCGGCUACACGGCCGCGCCGCCUCCGGCAGGCAGCAGCAGGGAGGAUUAUGGCACGGGGGGCGCCAGGCUGAUGCAGCGCCGCCGCGGUGGUGAUGGAGUCCUUCGGGUUGUGCACCUCUUUCGCCAGUGAAGCAAGCCUGCCGCGUUUGUGGGUGGGUUGACGGUAGCUGAAUAAGAAGCGCCGGCUAACUACGUG
RNAcentral lists this ribosomal RNA (494 nucleotides) under uncultured bacterium. RNAcentral's name for it is "partial 16S ribosomal RNA". It matches the Rfam family "Bacterial small subunit ribosomal RNA", at positions 28 to 507 of the family's 1533-position model. The record is from RNAcentral.